Molecule: long non-coding RNA, 631 nt
Filed under: Dasypus novemcinctus (nine-banded armadillo)
Lineage: Eukaryota; Metazoa; Chordata; Mammalia; Cingulata; Dasypodidae
Description: lncRNA (ENSDNOG00000052025.1)
Source: RNAcentral
AGGCAAAGAAAACACAAAUGAUUCUUUGUAGGUAUGGGUCCUCUGUAACCAAUGCAAGAAAAUGAAAUUGUUGACUGGAGAAAAAUACUGCAACAUCUAUGACCAUGAGCUAUUGCUACAUAAAGAGCAUGACAGGAGACACUAUGUAAAUCUUCACUUGGAAUGGGACGUGGGAUCUCAAAAUCGACCAGUGCUAGAGACUCUAAAAUAAGUCUCUCCACUACCAGAAACCCUCACUGCCUCUCAGAGCCCGGAUCCAUAAAGGAAUACCCUGGGAUUUUGAAGCAGCAUUGGUUCAUCUAGAGCACUUGUUUAGGCUGACAGGCUGGAAUCAGCGAGAUGCAAAAAUCCCGGGUCUUCUCCUGCAGAAGAGAGAGGGCCUGGCAGCCGAGCUGGAUGCCUCAGGAGCAGAGGAUCUAUCAACGGCAGACCAAGCCUAGGGAGACGCAGGCAGACCUGGAACAGAAACCCAGCCCGCUCCAGCUGCUCCCACGAUACGUGGUGGCCGGACGGUUGGCGACAGGAAGCACGCCACGGGCCAUGAGGCAGGAACCGAUUCUGACCCAAUCCUUGAGGUCUGGUAAGUUUCCUCAGUCUUGGAAAGCGAGGCAAAUGAUAACCAAGUCUUUCU